UAACGCGUGAGUAACCUGCCUUUCAGAGGGGGAUAACGUUCUGAAAAGAAACGCUAAUACCGCAUAAGAUUGUAGUUUCGCAUGGAGCAGCAAUCAAAGGAGCAAUCCGCUGAAAGAUGGACUCGCGUCCGAUUAGAUAGUUGGCGGGGUAACGGCCCACCAAGUCGACGAUCGGUAGCCGGACUGAGAGGUUGAUCGGCCACAUUGGGACUGAGACACGGCCCAG
RNAcentral lists this ribosomal RNA (226 nucleotides) under uncultured bacterium. Its description in RNAcentral is "partial 16S ribosomal RNA". It matches the Rfam family "Bacterial small subunit ribosomal RNA", at positions 111 to 334 of the family's 1533-position model. The record is from RNAcentral.